Molecule: long non-coding RNA, 200 nt
Filed under: Elaeis guineensis (African oil palm)
Lineage: Eukaryota; Viridiplantae; Streptophyta; Magnoliopsida; Arecales; Arecaceae
Description: long non-coding RNA (EGUI_LNC035085)
Source: RNAcentral
ACUAGGUUAACCUUAGACUCCUUUGUCAGUUUGGGCUCCUCAGCCCAAGCAUGACUUUUUGCACCUUCUUUUCUUUUUCUUUCUUAAAAGAUUGUUAUCCCACUAAAGAUACAUCUUCAGAGGUGCAAAAGAACUCCUUCAAUAUUUGAAAAAUUUUCUCCCACUUGAGUAUCAUCGAAUUUAUAACUAAAUUAUGUUUU